RNAcentral lists this ribosomal RNA (492 nucleotides) under uncultured bacterium. RNAcentral's name for it is "partial 16S ribosomal RNA". It matches the Rfam family "Bacterial small subunit ribosomal RNA", at positions 29 to 507 of the family's 1533-position model. The record is from RNAcentral.
AGUGAACGCUGGCGGUAGGCCUAACACAUGCAAGUCGAACGGCAGCACAGUAAGAGCUUGCUCUUACGGGUGGCGAGUGGCGGACGGGUGAGGAAUACAUCGGAAUCUACUUUUUCGUGGGGGAUAACGUAGGGAAACUUACGCUAAUACCUCAUACGACCUACGGGUGAAAGCAGGGGAUCUUCGGACCUUGCGCGAUUCAAUGAGCCGAUGUCGGAUUAGCUAGUUGGCGUGGUAAAGGCCCACCAAGGCGACGAUCCGUAGCUGGUCUGAGAGGAUGAUCAGCCACACUGGAACUGAGACACGGUCCAGACUCCUACGGGAGGCAGCAGUGGGGAAUAUAGGACAAUGGGCGCAAGCCUGAUCCAGCCAUACCGCGUGGGUGAAGAAGGCCUUCGGGUUGUAAAGCCCUUUUGUUGGGAAAGAAAAGCAGCAGGUGAAUACCCCGCUGUUCUGACGGUACCCAAAGAAUAAGCACCGGCUAACUUCGUG